UACGUAGGGGGCAAGCGUUGUCCGGAUUUAUUGGGCGUAAAGAGCGUGUAGGCGGCCUGACAGGUCUGCUGUGAAAACUCGAGGCUCAACCUCGAGAUGUCGGCGGAAACCGUCUGGCUAGAGUCCGGAAGAGGAGAGUGGAAUUCCUGGUGUAGCGGUGAAAUGCGCAGAUAUCAGGAGGAACACCGAUGGCGAAGGCAGGUCUCUGGGCAUUAACUGACGCUGAGGAGCGAAAGCAUGGGGAGCGAGCAGG
Molecule: ribosomal RNA, 253 nt
Filed under: uncultured bacterium
Lineage: Bacteria
Description: partial 16S ribosomal RNA
Rfam family: Bacterial small subunit ribosomal RNA
Source: RNAcentral